RNAcentral lists this ribosomal RNA (960 nucleotides) under Pseudorhiza haeckeli. Its description in RNAcentral is "eukaryotic LSU rRNA". It matches the Rfam family "Eukaryotic large subunit ribosomal RNA", at positions 144 to 876 of the family's 3401-position model. The record is from RNAcentral. Lineage: Eukaryota; Metazoa; Cnidaria; Scyphozoa; Rhizostomeae; Lychnorhizidae.
UGUAGUCUCGAGAAGCGUUCUCUCGGCGGAUCCUCCCAGUCGAAGUUGCUUGGAAGAGCACAUCAGAGAGGGUGACAAUCCCGUUCGCGACAGGGACGGACCGCUCACGACACGCUUUCCAUGAGUCGGGUUGCUUGGGAAUGCAGCCCAAAAUUGGUGGUAAACUCCAUCUAAAGCUAAAUAUUGGCACGAGACCGAUAGCGAACAAGUACCGUGAGGGAAAGAUGAAAAGAACUUUGAAAAGAGAGUUAAAAAGUGUGUGAAACCGUUAGAGGGGAAACGGAUGCAGUUAGCAAUGCUCCUGCGAGAUUCAGGCGAUCGCUUGUCGAGACGUGCAGUUGACGGAUCCGAAUGGACCGUCGCUGCACGGCCCCGUCUUGCGUCCGCCGCACUUCUCGUCGGAGUGCGUCAACAACUGCUGAACGUGUGGACUACACGGCGCACACGUGGAAGGUAGGUGCCCGGUUCACUCCGGAGUGCUGUUACAGCCACGAGCGUCCCAGUCUGUGUUCGGCAGAGGUGAGCGGUGCAUGCUCUCGCCGUCAGGUGAGGGCUGGCGUCCUGUCUCGAUCAUCCUGUAGCCGUCCGAGGUGCACUGCGUGCAGUUCGUCUUGGAAGGUGAACGGACGUGCAGGUUAACGCACACGAUGCGCCAUGGUUGUUGGCGGCCAUAUGGCUUUAUCCGACCCGUCUUGAAACACGGACCAAGGAGUCUAACAUGUGCGCGAGUCUUGGGGUGACCGAAACCCAGAGGCGCAAUGAAAGUGAAGGCUGCCUAGCAGCUGAGGUGAGAUCCUCGUCGCCGCGUGCCACUCGUGGGUGCGUGUGCGGCUGGGCGCAUCAUCGACCGACCUGUUCUACUCUUAGAAAGGUUUGAGUAAGAGCGUACGUGCUGGGACCCGAAAGAUGGUGAACUAUGCCUGAGUAGGGUGAAGCCAGAGGAAACUCUGGUGGAAGCUC